UCUCCUCACAUACGACAACCUUUUCGCCCCCAUCGAUCUCUCCUCUCGACGAAAACCUCCUCGGCGAAACCCUCUGCUCGGCCAAAACCUCGCUCACCCCCAUCUCUCCGCCAAAAGCUCUUCUCGGCGAAAACCUCUGCUCUGCCAAAACCUUGCUUGCCCCAAUCUCUCCGCCAAAACCUCUGGUAUCUCCUCUGUCUGCCAAAACCAAGCCUCCACCAAAACCUAGCCUCUUUCUCCCAGAAACCUCCAUCUCCUCCCAAAACCUAGCCCCCACAAAAACCUACAUCUCAGCCAAAGCCCCACACGUCCCGUGACCUAGCCUCCACCACUCUUCAGCGACUUGAGGUGUUUAGGACAACCGAUGCCGUUGGAAAAGGCUCUUCUCGUGUGACUGGUUUGUCACACAUCUCUUCCUCAUUCUAUUCCCAUAUCAAUAUUAAAUUUAAUGGUUAAAACAACAAUUGUCGCAUCCAACACCUCCAAAACUGUGACAAAUACCAAAAUUAGAGCGAAAACCGUGAAGAAAGUGUAUUCUUUGCCCGGCCAGAAGCAUAAUCCUCCUGAAGAGGAACCAUUGAGGAUAUUCUAUGAAUCUCUAUCGAAACAAAUUCCCUCAAGUGAAAUGGCACAAUUUUGAGGAAGCUGAAGAGGAAGAAUGAUUAAUAGUGAUUGCUUGAACAGACUAAUAGUUAGGGGCCUUCCAAAGGUGUGAUUGGGAAGUACUUUGAUGAAGAACUAUCAAGAAGACUUUGGGAUUUAAGCGAGAAGAUGGAUAAAGCCAAUGAGUAAAGAGCAUUCAAGUCAAGAUGAUAAGUACCAUCUAUUAAGAUCAUUUAAAUUCAUGCAAUAAGAUGUAGUCGAGAUGAGUAGUUUUGAGUGUCCUAAUUUAAAUUUCUUUUUUAAGCAAGAAAUUAUGUUUGUUAUAGAAGUGUAAGGAUGAUAAUUUGUAUAUUUAUCUUGGUUGUUUAUUUAAUAAUAUGUUGUUGAUUGAAA
Molecule: long non-coding RNA, 996 nt
Organism: Zingiber officinale
Lineage: Eukaryota; Viridiplantae; Streptophyta; Magnoliopsida; Zingiberales; Zingiberaceae
Exons: 4
Source: RefSeq, a predicted model, not a curated record